AUGCUUUGCACAUGUGCUGAUAUUAGAACAGUACAUCUGAAUCAUCUGACUUUGUAAUCCAAAUGUGCUGAUGUAACUUCCUGUCAACACACAAGACUAUGAAUGAAUCACGGCCUUGUUCAGUUGAAAGUCUGCAGACAGCAUCUGUAUACAGUGAUGAUUCCAACCAUCUGGGUUGAAGGAAGAAUAUUUCUGAUUGUUCUGAAUAGGAAAGCUGGACAUUGCUUCAAGGUCCCGACACUCAUCUGAUUCAGAAAAGAGAAGCCAAACACUACUUGUGGCUGGCAGCGCUUUGAAUCGGCUGGACGGCUGGUAACAAAUUAGGGGAUGUCAGUGUGGGAAAUGGGCUGGCCAGGAUGAUUAGUGGUGUUUUACAAUCUGGUAAGAUUUGACCUUUCAGGGCUGCCAUCAUUCUAAAUUCAAGUGAACUUGAGAAGGGGACCAGAUGUAAAAUGGAGGUUGUUAAAUAUCCGUCAGUCUGUGUGCACCUCAAAUGUCAAUUCAUUUCACACUCUUUUGUUUUCUUUACUCCCUGAGUUGAAACUCAUCCUCAUUUGAAGACAACAUGAGGCAUCCAGAGAAAUGACACUGUCAAAACCCCCAAGUAACAGCCACCCUUGGAAUGAAAACAGAUGAUGUGUCAACAGAUGGAACUCAGCAAAGACCUGAUGGAAUUUAUGUCUCCAUAAAUCUGGCUCAAAAGAUACACUUUGAUGAAGACUAUUAAAAAAAGUAUAAUAAUUAAAAAAAUGUAUUAAUAAUAAUAAAAUGCAAGAUGCUUUAAGAAUAAUGUCUACUAAAGCACUAUUGACCCCCUCUUCGGUUUUUAAAACAGUUGUCUGAGGUAUAACUAGAAAAUGGCUAAAAUCAAUGCCCAAAAACUGGAGACCUGCAGGCAGCGGGGCUGACACUGUGGACUGUGGGCUUCCUGCCAGUGUGAUGCGAUAUAGUAAGAGUGUUCUCUCACUCACUGCCAGCUGCAAGAGCAGAGGCAACAAAGAUUCCCCUGUGACCCACACAGCAGCAGAUUCAGAAAAAGAUGGACGCCGCAGGCCCUAACCCCUGCCAGUGUUAAUUGCCUUAAAUUAUUCAAUUGCAUCUGAAGCCAAAGAGGGUGCAGCACGCUGGGCGUGCAGCUGCAGGGGAGAGCUUACGCGGUCCAUCCCCUUGUUCACACUCUCUGCCUGCUCUCUGCUCUCCAUGGCACCAAGAUAAGAGCAGAGGAGAAAAACUGAAUGGCCCAUCCUUCACCUUCAUCCAGGCUUGGUAAAUCAAGGCAAUUGAAAGCCAAAAUUUCACCUGGUGACUCUCCACUGCCAUGGCAACAACACUUUCCACAGUAUCUCCUCUUCUGGCCUGAUUAAAAUAAACACUUCUGGGAUGACAGAUUUGCAAAUCACUUUUUACACACAGUCUUAGCACAAAGCCAAACUUUAAAUUUAUAUUGUGAAUUCAAAGCCAUUACAAACAACAUGGAAUUUAGAGGAAGAGACACAAACUUUUGCGCAUAGUUAUGUAUGUAUGAGUGCAUUCAUAAUUCAUGGAUAUUUCCUCCAUGCAGGUUAUAUGAAUGCAUCCAGAGUAAAAGGGAAACAUUUUAUCCAUGUCCCACGUAAGACGGGAAUAUGUGGCAAUUCAGACAUGAUAAAUUUAAGAGGAUGGGACUGUGUUAGUCAAUUUUCUUGCAAGACUCUGUUCUCUAAAUGUUAGGUUGAAUCCUCUGAUGGCAUUGGAGAAGCUCGUACAGUAACUGCAUAACAAGGCUCAGAGCAACAGUCAGCUUUAAUGGGGCGUUUAUGUAAAUAUAGGACUAAUAAGGCAAAUGAAAAAUAAAUAAUUGUUGUUUAAGAAAUGUUUUUCAUAAAAAUACCAAGCAGUUGAAACGCCCAUGUGGAAUCAUGAAUGAAGGUCACUUUGGUCCACAUGACGUCACCUUUGUGUCUCUGCUCAGUAUUGUCAGUGUCUCAGAGCAGCCUGAGGCCUGUGGUAGAAGGAUGUGAUGAUGGACACUGGAUUUCUCAGCUCCACCCAGAACAUUUUCUCAGUUUUUGCAGGCAACAGAGUGUAAAGGGCCCAAGAGUGGUGCCCUCUCAUCUGAGACUGCAGGCUCACUGUUUGGAUGCAGAGCUCCCGGUCCCUGGUCCCCUUCGGCAAGCAUUACAAGAAGCUUUUUGCGACCUGUCACCAAAUAUCUCACAGUUUCCUUGUUUCUUUUUUUUUUUUUUUUUUGUUAAAAGAAACAUCCACUGGGAGUUCUUUCACAGCUUUAUUC
Long non-coding RNA from Megalobrama amblycephala (Wuchang bream), 2272 nucleotides. RefSeq lists it as uncharacterized. The record is from RefSeq and is a predicted model, not a curated record. The transcript is spliced from 3 exons. NCBI's taxonomy places the organism in Eukaryota, Metazoa, Chordata, Actinopteri, Cypriniformes, Xenocyprididae.